UAAGUCUAAACUUGUCGUCCACACGUAACCCACUUACGUGUAACGAUCAUGCCCAUAUGUGUGAAUCUCGAGUGAAUUGCCCAAAAACAAGCUACUAGUUUCUCAUUACUUUGCGCGUGUGCGAUAUAAUUGCUACAGAUGUAAAACUACAAGAGGAAACAUUUCGUAUCUCCAGCGAUUGCAUUGCAACGCGGUGAAAGCUGUGGAGGUAUUUGUAAAUUGAUCCUUACUUAGCGACGCAGUGACCGGCUGUCACAACGUGGAAUCGGUUUACCAACGUUCCUCCGCACCUACUGGAACCGAUGCGGAUGUAAGCCUGAAAC
Molecule: unclassified non-coding RNA, 323 nt
Filed under: Athalia rosae (coleseed sawfly)
Lineage: Eukaryota; Metazoa; Arthropoda; Insecta; Hymenoptera; Athaliidae
Description: misc RNA ENSAEAG00005003922.1
Source: RNAcentral